Musa acuminata AAA Group (dessert banana) is the source of this 930-nucleotide long non-coding RNA. RefSeq lists it as uncharacterized. NCBI's taxonomy places the organism in Eukaryota, Viridiplantae, Streptophyta, Magnoliopsida, Zingiberales, Musaceae. The transcript has 2 exons. The record is from RefSeq and is a predicted model, not a curated record.
UGCAGACGAAGUCAAUUAUAUAUGAAAAAAAAAAUAUUUUUUGACUAAUUUUUACAAAAAAAAAAUCUAACCAUGAGUAGUUUUUAGAGUUUGACUCGUACGAGACAGGAGGGGAUUCGAGAUGGGUAUAAGUGAUAUUGGAAUCGAUAUAUUAUAUCCUAAAUCGUCUUCAAAUCUCGAUCAAAAUUAGUCAAAAUUAAUUUGAUCGAAUGGAAUUGGGCCGCUGCGUCGUAUCUCGCUGGCUGCAAUUAUGACGUGCAUCGGAAUCAUAUCCGCUGGCACUUGAAUUCCUCGUCUCGGUGGUCGGUGACCAGUAGUGCUUCCUCUUGAUAUCCUCUCUGUCGUGGAGCAAGUGAGGUUCCUUGUCUCCCUCCUCGUAUAGCAUGCCUUGUCCCCGUCCUCCCUCUUCAAAGGUCGGCAUCAAUCGAGCAGCUCAAGGCACUAUUCACGUAAGCUUACCCAGUGUCCGUAUCUUGUUCUUCCUAUGGCAACAAUGAAUGCCCAGCAAUUGUUCGACAAAAUUCCCCAGCUAAAACAACUCGUGUUGGGCUGGGGGUGUGCAGCAGAAAAGUGCGUGAGGUGCACUUACGGCGAUGAACUUAUCGACGGAAAGGAAGACAAGGAUAAGAGAACAAAACGGAGUCACGGAGGACCUACUGUGGCCGACCGUGUUUUGCUCUACGCGUUUCACGUUGGUCCGCCACUUUCUUUUACCCCGAGAAAACUCGAUUAGUUCGAUGUCCUUGGAUUCAUGAACUCAUCUCAGAAGACUGCACAGAUCGCGAUGGAUGUAAUUUUCUCAAGAGAUCUGCAAUGAAGACUGUCACGAAUUUCAAGCAGCGUUCGCAGUGAAGAAUUGAAGUCAUCCACAUCCAUGGCGACGCGUUGCAAGCCUUCAUGAAUGCAGGAAAUAACGUCAUAUUAGCUUCA